Long non-coding RNA from Polypterus senegalus (gray bichir), 1320 nucleotides. RefSeq lists it as uncharacterized. The transcript is spliced from 14 exons. Lineage: Eukaryota; Metazoa; Chordata; Cladistia; Polypteriformes; Polypteridae. The record is from RefSeq and is a predicted model, not a curated record.
GUGCGGCACAAAAAUAAAUUUCAAAUAACUUAAUGGUUCAGAGCAUACUUAGUCUGUCAGCAUUGGACAUUAGAAUGGAACCAACUCUAGAGUGGGUUGGAAUCAUAUCCAUCAAUCCAUUACUUCCAUCUACUGGACUGUGGUUUCAAUAUCAAUUCCCUAUCCAAUCCAAGUCGGGCAUUUAGUUAGCCUCCUACAUUGGCUGAGGACCCGUAUAAGUCUCCGUUCAUCGACUUCCUCGCUCUUUUUUACAACGAGGAGGGUCGUGUGUAGAGAGUGAAAUGGCUAGUCAGCUUGGAGAGUUUAAGAAUAUGGAUCCUGGUGGUUUGAAAAAACACCAUUUCAUCAUCAGUGUGGAUGGAUCCUAGUGGUUUGAAAAAAACACCAUUUCAGCAUCAGUGUGGAUAGUGUUUGAGGAAUGGGCUCUGUGACAAGCAAGACUUAUCACUCCCACAGACAGCCAAAUCUCUGGGCAUGAACCUUUUGUGUAACUGUUAACUGAAGAAUGGAUUCAACUAAACCAUAAAUCCGAUGAUCACUAUGGGUUUUUGGUGGAAGUUGAGCAGAUGACUUUAAAACCGAAGGCUCCUCUUGAAUGAUUGCUUUGUCAGCAGAAGUGCAACUCUCUGACAUGUACCCUAUAAUCUGAGCUUGGUGGAGGUGUCUGAAGUUAAUAACAAACCCAAGUCCACAGUUUCCCUUCUGAAGACCUUUUUUAAAACUGUAAAUUUAGGCAAUUUUUUCACCUACCCUUUUCACUUGCUCCCAACUUGGUCUGCUUUUGUGCAAUGUCUCCAGAGAUUAUAAGAAAUUGAUUUACAAAAGAUGACAAAUAAAAACCUCAACAGAAAAAUCAGUAGCUGGUUGGUUUGUGGUGUUUUUUUUUUGGUCCUUAUUUCUCUUAUCGAUACAAGAACCACACACACCAUACCUCCAGUUUUGGUGGAGCAAGGCUAAAUGGGUGUGUAAAAGACUGACCACUUUCUCUAAAGAAUUUUGCACUUUGUGGUGUCUGCUGUAUUUAAGAACAGAGAUGCUGUGUGGUUCUGAAGAGUUGAUUAGAAUUCCAGGUGACUAAUACAGAGCUGAAUGAAGAUGGAAGAUCCUGCCUUCCAACUAUUAGUACCAGUUUCCAGAACCAAAAUCUCAACACCUACACAUGUACAUUUAAGCAGACUAUUGAGAUCCUUGGGAUGCAGGCCUCCUCACAAUUCCAAACAUCCCCUUUGAAGCUCUGUGUGUGUUCAUUCAGCACUGUGCCUACUAUGGGGCAUUCCUGGUACAUCUGUUCAAGAAGCUGUAGUGAGUUACACUUCUAGU